This is a long non-coding RNA of Polypterus senegalus (gray bichir), 283 nucleotides long. RefSeq lists it as uncharacterized. The transcript has 2 exons. Lineage: Eukaryota; Metazoa; Chordata; Cladistia; Polypteriformes; Polypteridae. The record is from RefSeq and is a predicted model, not a curated record.
GUUUAUUAUCUCAAACAAUCCUUCGCCAUCCUGCUUAGUUAGCCCUUGUGAAGGCAUUCCCUACCUGAAGAUUGACAACCAUGACACCUCUGAUGUCACUUCUGCAUGCCUGAACCCCCCACUUCCUGCCCAGAACCUUUAUCUCCGAAAGCAAUGCCAUCUUGAAUCAGUCUGAUUGAGACUCGCAUUACUGAGACCUUUUUUUUUUCAUAGCGCUAUACCGCACGUUUUAUUUGAUACUUGUGGUGCCCCAAAGAUCUAUAAAUCUCUGUCUGUCUCUUUA